UUGCACGAGAAAUGCGCCAAGGCACCAAGAGUGCGCCUAGGCACGAAAAUAGCGC
This is a non-coding RNA of Caenorhabditis elegans, 55 nucleotides long. Lineage: Eukaryota; Metazoa; Nematoda; Chromadorea; Rhabditida; Rhabditidae. The record is from Ensembl.